AGCAAUCUACACACAUACACUCACACACCCCGUCCCUUUCCCUCCUCGCAGAAGCCGAGGAGAUGCCAUGUGAGGGUGCAGCGAGGAGUUGGGCUGUCUAAAAGCAAAGAAAGAGAUUGCAUCAGACACCGCAUCUGCUGACACCUUGUUCUUGGACUUCCAGCUUCCAAAACCGCGAGAAAUAAAUGUCUGUGUCUAAACCCCAACCCUACCACCUCAACUGCCGUGUGUGGUGUUUUGUGAUGGCAGCCCCAGCUGACUGAGACACCUGGUUAGACCGGAAUAAGCAGUACCUGAGUCCCUUAAGAGUGGCCAAAGAAGAAAGAAUCCACUGAGUUGACAUUCCAGUUCAGCUGCAAUCGGUAGCAGUCACCAUUGAACAUCCUUGAAGCAAUUCUUCCAAAAUUACCUUGCAUCAAAGACUGCACAAGAACUGCUCUAAGCGGAAGGACUGAUGUCGGCAACCAGGGUUCCACCAGGGGCUGCAGACAGCCCUUGACCUUCAGGUGGGAAGGUGUCACUGAGUUCAGACCCUCUGGCAAUCCCUAGCUAUCAACAUUUUGAUAAGAAAAUAAGUGGAAAGGUAGAACUGGAAGAUUUUGCUGAAAGAUUGGACAUGGCAUUCAGAGAAACAGAGGUUUUAAUGACAAACUCCAAGUUUUUGGCUGGAGCAACUGGAAGAAUGAGGUUGCCAUGAACCGAAAAGAGAGAUUGCAGAAGUAACCAAAUUUACUCACGUAGGCCAGGAAUUUCUAUGACGUGUUCCAAAUUCAGCCUCUCACUGAACACUUCCAGAGCAAGGCAACAUAAACAUCUGCAAGAAGAACAUUGUGUGAGAAAUAUCAAGUGAGAGUGGAAGAGUCUGCGGAGGGCCUCCCUGGGGCUCACCUGUGCUUUUGCCUGAGCUUCACCGUGUCAAGGAUGCAGCACUUUUUCCCUCUGGAGGAAGCAGCUUUCACCUUGGAAGAAUCUUGACCUUGCCAUUCAAAGUCACCAGACAGGGAAUCUGCCAGUGCCUUGAUCUUAGACUUCCCAGCUUCUGUAACUGUGAGCAAUAAAUGUAUGCUGCUUAUAAACUA
RNAcentral lists this long non-coding RNA (1079 nucleotides) under Homo sapiens (human). Its description in RNAcentral is "HSALNT0338170". The record is from RNAcentral. Lineage: Eukaryota; Metazoa; Chordata; Mammalia; Primates; Hominidae.